UACGAGGGGGGCGAGCGUUGUUCGGAAUUAUUGGGCGUAAAGGGUGCGUAGGCGGUUUGGUAAGUCUGAUGUGAAAUCUAUGGGCUCAACUCAUAGUCUGCAUCGGAAACUGCCGGGCUUGGGUGUGGGAGAGGUGAGUGGAAUUCCUGGUGUAGCGGUGAAAUGCGUAGAUAUCAGGAGGAACACCUGUGGCGAAAGCGGCUCACUGGACCAUAACUGACGCUGAUGCACGAAAGCUAGGGGAGCAAACAGG
Molecule: ribosomal RNA, 253 nt
Filed under: uncultured bacterium
Lineage: Bacteria
Description: partial 16S ribosomal RNA
Rfam family: Bacterial small subunit ribosomal RNA
Source: RNAcentral